GAUGAACGCUGGCGGCGUGCCUAAUACAUGCAAGUCGAGCGAACAGACGAGGAGCUUGCUCCUCUGACGUUAGCGGCGGACGGGUGAGUAACACGUGGAUAACCUACCUAUAAGACUGGGAUAACUUCGGGAAACCGGAGCUAAUACCGGAUAAUAUAUUGAACCGCAUGGUUCAAUAGUGAAAGACGGUUUUGCUGUCACUUAUAGAUGGAUCCGCGCCGCAUUAGCUAGUUGGUAAGGUAACGGCUUACCAAGGCGACGAUGCGUAGCCGACCUGAGAGGGUGAUAGGCCACACUGGAACUGAGACACGGUCCAGACUCCUACGGGAGGCAGCAGUAGGGAAUCUUCCGCAAUGGGCGAAAGCAUGACGGAGCAACGCCGCGUGAGUGAUGAAGGUCUUCGGAUCGUAAAACUCUGUUAUUAGGGAAGAACAAAUGUGUAAGUAACUAUGCACGUCUUGACGGUACCUAAUCAGAAAGCAACGGCUAACUACGUG
Molecule: ribosomal RNA, 497 nt
Filed under: uncultured bacterium
Lineage: Bacteria
Description: partial 16S ribosomal RNA
Rfam family: Bacterial small subunit ribosomal RNA
Source: RNAcentral